AUGCUCUUGACGCGCGGGUUCCGGCGCGCCGCCGUGCCCCGCCUCGCGCGCCGCGACAUGUGUGGUGCGGCGGCUCGGCGCACCACAGCGUCGGGUUUGGUGGCGGUGGCCGGGGGCGGAGCGAGCUUCCACGACUACGACGCCGCCAUCACGGCGUGCGUCGAGAGGCGGGCGCUCAAGCAAGGAAGGCAGGUGCACGCGCACAUGGUCACGGCGAGGUACCGCCCGCCCGUGUACCUGGCCACGCGGCUGGUCAUCAUGUACGCGAGGUGCUGCGCGCUGGACGACGCGCGCAACGUGCUCGACGGGAUGCCGGAACGGAAUGUGGUGUCCUGGACGGCCAUGAUCUCGGGGUAUUCGCAGAGCGGCCGGCACGUUGAGGCGUUGCAGCUGUUCAUCCGGAUGCUUAGAGCUGGAUGCAAGCCUAAUGAAUUCACUUUCGCAACUGUUCUUACAUCAUGUUCUGGCUCUCAAAGCAUACACCAGGUCAAGCAAGUCCAUUCUCUCGUUGCCAAAACAAAUUUUGAGUCGCACAUGUUUGUUGGGAGCUCCCUUCUUGACAUGUACGCCAAGGCAGGGAAUAUCCAAGAAGCUCGAAGGGUGUUCGACAUGCUUCCGGAAAGAGACACUGUUUCCUGUACCGCCAUUAUAUCUGGCUAUGCUCAGCUGGGCCUUGAUGAUGAAGCCUUGGACUUGUUCAGGCAGUUGUACAGUGCAGGGAUGCAAUGCAAUUAUGUUACUUUUACGACCCUUCUCACUUCAUUAUCUGGGCUGGCCUCCCUGGAUUAUGGCAAGCAAGUUCAUGGACUAAUACUUCGUAAAGAGUUACCAUUUUUCGUUGUUCUACAGAAUUCUUUGAUUGAUAUGUACUCCAAAUGCGGCAAGUUGUUAUACUCGAGGAGGGUAUUUGAUCACAUGCCACAGAGAUCAGCCAUCAGUUGGAAUGCAAUGCUUAUGGGAUAUGGUAGACAUGGCAUAGGACAUGAAGUCGUUCAGCUCUUUAGAACUAUGACCGAAGAAGUGAAGCCUGACAGCGUUACCCUGUUGGCUGUUUUAUCUGGUUGUAGUCACGGUGGGCUGGUUGAUGAGGGCCUUGACAUAUUCGAUCUUAUAGUAAAAGAACAAAAUGCUGUUCUCAGCAUUGGGCAUUAUGGGUGUGUUAUUGAUCUUCUUGGACGCUCUGGACGACUACAGAAGGCUUUAGAUUUGAUACAAGAUAUGCCAUUUGAGCCGACUCCAGCAAUUUGGGGUUCAUUGCUUGGUGCUUGCAGAGUUCAUGUUAACGUUAGUGUUGGUGAGGUUGUUGCUCAGAAGCUUCUGGACAUGGAGCCAGGAAAUGCUGGAAACUAUGUGAUCCUUUCUAACAUUUAUGCUGCUGCUGGAAUGUGGAAAGAUGUUUUCAGAGUUAGGAACUUAAUGCUGGAGAAGACGGUGACCAAGGAACCAGGGCAGAGCUGGAUAAUUCUUGACAAGGUUAUCCACACCUUCCGCUCAAGUGAUCGUUUACAUCCCAGGAAGAAAGAUAUAGAUGCUAAGAUAAAGGAGAUAUAUGUUGAUAUUAAAGCAGCUGGCUUUGUUCCGGACCUGAGCUGUGUUCUGCAUGAUGUUGACGAUGAGCAGAAAGAACGCAUGCUUCUUGGUCACAGUGAGAAGCUGGCAGUAACUUUUGGACUGAUGAACACCCCUCCAGGCUUGACUAUCCGGGUUAUGAAGAAUCUUCGUAUCUGUGUUGACUGCCAUAAUUUUGCGAAGUUUGUUUCAAAAGUUUAUGGAAGGGAGAUAUCUCUCAGGGAUAAAAAUCGGUUUCAUCUACUUACAGAUGGAGCUUGCACUUGUGGAGAUUACUGGUGA
This 1851-nucleotide ribosomal RNA is filed under the name Triticum aestivum (bread wheat). RNAcentral's name for it is "partial small subunit ribosomal RNA". The record is from RNAcentral. Lineage: Eukaryota; Viridiplantae; Streptophyta; Magnoliopsida; Poales; Poaceae.